This 344-nucleotide ribosomal RNA is filed under the name uncultured soil bacterium. RNAcentral's name for it is "bacterial SSU rRNA". It matches the Rfam family "Bacterial small subunit ribosomal RNA", at positions 26 to 386 of the family's 1533-position model. The record is from RNAcentral.
AGAACGAACGCUGGCGGCAUGCCUAAUACAUGCAAGUCGAACGAACUCUUCGGAGUUAGUGGCGCACGGGUGCGUAACGCGUGGGAAUCUGCCCCUUGGUUCGGAAUAACAGUUGGAAACGACUGCUAAUACCGGAUGAUGACGAAAGUCCAAAGAUUUAUCGCCAAGGGAUGAGCCCGCGUAGGAUUAGCUUAGUUGGUGAGGUAAAGGCUACACCAAGGCAACGAUCCUUAGCUGGUCUGAGAGGAUGAUCAGCCACACGUGGGACUGAGACCACCGGCCCAGGACUCCGUACGGGAGGCAGCAGGUAGGGAAUAGUGGACAAGUGGGACGAAAGGCCUAGA